AAUAAUCCCCUGGAUAUGUGCUCAUUAAGCCUCUGUGGAAAUACUUAAACCACCUUGGGCUCUCCAGGAAGGGUAACAGCCCCACAGCCCCAAUCCGAGAUGAAGUUAGCCCUGACUUUUGCAAUCUGGAUGACACCAGUCUUGCCUUAAACUCUACUAAAUCUUUUUAAGCAGGUUGGCAGUUUCGAUCACCCUGUGAAGCGGACAGAAAUAUUGCUUCCAUUCAGCAGGUGAGACAGCUGAGAGUUGGGACGAUAAGAGUGCCAUCUGGAAGGUUAGCCAGUUUACGCAUGAUACAGCCUAGACAAGAGAAGAGGAGAUUUGACUCUAGGCCACCACACCGCUCUGCUACUCAAAAGAAAACUCCACUGAAAACCAAACAGCAUUGUUUCUGGGCUGGAUCUGUUUACCUCUGCCCGAGCUUUCCUUCCCACAAGACUUAAUUACUCAUUGCUAGCACCACGCACCUUCAGGAGUCAUGUGUGUGGUAUUCAUUUAAAGAGAAAUAUAACAUAAAAUAGCUCAGAGAUGGAUGUGCUUCCCCCAGGAAGGGUGCAAUGACUCCCACAGACAGGGGAGUCUAGGGGGCGGAUGAUGGAAACGAGUGAGAAGGGAGGAGGCGGCAGCGAGGCAGGAGUCUCGGUGGGUGGGGUGGAUGUUUACUUGAGAUCCUCGCCUCCCUUCAUCAACUUUAUUACUCACCAGCACGCAACAAUUACUCCUCCUGUCCUGAUAUUUCCCUUGGACGAGCUGGCUCACCAUGCUGCGAACAUUUGUAAGCUUUGGGGAGGCUGAGUACCCCUGACGCUUAGCUAGAUUUUUGUUAGAAAGGGAUUCAUUUUGUAUAAUUCUUACAAUGCAUAUUAAACACGACUUGGAGUA
Molecule: non-coding RNA, 882 nt
Organism: Equus caballus (horse)
Lineage: Eukaryota; Metazoa; Chordata; Mammalia; Perissodactyla; Equidae
Source: RefSeq, a predicted model, not a curated record